This 497-nucleotide ribosomal RNA is filed under the name uncultured bacterium. RNAcentral describes it as "partial 16S ribosomal RNA". It matches the Rfam family "Bacterial small subunit ribosomal RNA", at positions 28 to 507 of the family's 1533-position model. The record is from RNAcentral.
GAUGAACGCUGGCGGCGUGCCUAAUACAUGCAAGUCGAGCGAACAGACGAGGAGCUUGCUCCUCUGACGUUAGCGGCGGACGGGUGAGUAACACGUGGAUAACCUACCUAUAAGACUGGGAUAACUUCGGGAAACCGGAGCUAAUACCGGAUAAUAUAUUGAACCGCAUGGUUCAAUAGUGAAAGACGGUUUUGCUGUCACUUAUAGAUGGAUCCGCGCCGCAUUAGCUAGUUGGUAAGGUAACGGCUUACCAAGGCAACGAUGCGUAGCCGACCUGAGAGGGUGUUCGGCCACACUGGAACUGAGACACGGUCCAGACUCCUACGGGAGGCAGCAGUAGGGAAUCUUCCGCAAUGGGCGAAAGCCUGACGGAGCAACGCCGCGUGAGGGAUGAAGGUCUUCGGAUCGUAAAACUCUGUUAUUAGGGAAGAACAAAUGUGUAAGUAACUAUGCACGUCUUGACGGUACCUAAUCAGAAAGCCACGGCUAACUACGUG